This 387-nucleotide ribosomal RNA is filed under the name uncultured Bacteroidota bacterium. Its description in RNAcentral is "bacterial SSU rRNA". It matches the Rfam family "Bacterial small subunit ribosomal RNA", at positions 568 to 957 of the family's 1533-position model. The record is from RNAcentral. Lineage: Bacteria; Pseudomonadati; Bacteroidota.
UCCGUAGGUGGACAGAUAAGUCAGAGGUGAAAUCCUGCAGCUCAACUGUAGAACUGCCUUUGAUACUGUUUGUCUUGAGUUAUUGUGAAGUGGUUAGAAUGUGUAGUGUAGCGGUGAAAUGCAUAGAUAUUACACAGAAUACCGAUUGCGAAGGCAGAUCACUAACAAUUAACUGACACUGAUGGACGAAAGCGUGGGUAGCGAACAGGAUUAGAUACCCUGGUAGUCCACGCCGUAAACGAUGGUCACUAGCUGUUCGGACUUCGGUCUGAGUGGCUAAGCGAAAGUGAUAAGUGACCCACCUGGGGAGUACGUUCGCAAGAAUGAAACUCAAAGGAAUUGACGGGGGCCCGCACAAGCGGUGGAGCAUGUGGUUUAAUUCGAUGA